GGGGAAUUUUGGACAAUGGGCGCAAGCCUGAUCCAGCCAUGCCGCGUGAGUGAAGAAGGCCUUCGGGUUGUAAAGCUCUUUCGGACGGGAAGAAAUGGCGGGCUCUAACAUAGCCUGUCGAUGACGGUACCUCAGGAAUAAGUCUCGGCUAACUACGUGCCAGCAGCCGCGGUAAAACGUAGGAGGCGAGCGUUAUCCGGAUUUACUGGGCGUAAAGCGCACGCAGGCGGCUCUGUUAGUCGGACGUGAAAGCUCUCGGCUUAACCGGGAGAGGCCGUUCGAUACUGCGGGGCUUGAGGUAGGGAGAGGAAUGCGGAAUUCCCGGUGUAGUGGUGGAAUGCGUAGAUAUCGGGAGGAACACCUGUGGCGAAAGCGGCAUUCUGGCCCUCACCUGACGCUGAGGUGCGAAAGCGUGGGUAGCAAACA
This 426-nucleotide ribosomal RNA is filed under the name uncultured bacterium. Its description in RNAcentral is "bacterial SSU rRNA". It matches the Rfam family "Bacterial small subunit ribosomal RNA", at positions 356 to 774 of the family's 1533-position model. The record is from RNAcentral.